AUUCCAGCUCCAAUAGCGUAUAUUAAAGUUGUUGCAGUUAAAAAGCUCGUAGUUGGAUUUCUGGUGGGAGCGAUCGGUCUGGCGCUUAGCGCGAGUACUUGCAUCGUCUCCGGCCAUCCUUGGGGAGAGUUUGUCUGGCAUUAAGUUGUCGGGCAGAGGAUCCUCAUCGUUUACUGUGAAAAAAUUAGAGUGUUCAAAGCAGGCUUAUGCCGUUGAAUAUAUUAGCAUGGAAUAAUAAGAUAGGACUUUGGUACUAUUUUGUUGGUUUGCGCACCAAAGUAAUGAUUAAUAGGGACAGCCAGGGGCACUCGUAUUCCGCCGAGAGAGGUGAAAUUCUCAGACCAGCGGAAGACGAACCACUGCGAAAGCAUUUGCCAGGGAUGUUUUCAUUG
Molecule: ribosomal RNA, 392 nt
Filed under: Arcocellulus sp.
Lineage: Eukaryota; Bacillariophyta; Thalassiosirophyceae; Cymatosirales; Cymatosiraceae
Description: partial small subunit ribosomal RNA
Rfam family: Eukaryotic small subunit ribosomal RNA
Source: RNAcentral